AGCCUGUGAUGACUUAGAUUAUAAGAGUAGUGGACAGAACCAGGUUUCUGAAAACUUCACUCUGAGGCU
Molecule: small nucleolar RNA, 69 nt
Organism: Mauremys mutica (yellowpond turtle)
Lineage: Eukaryota; Metazoa; Chordata; Testudines; Geoemydidae
Product: small nucleolar RNA SNORD75
Exons: 1
Source: RefSeq, a predicted model, not a curated record